UACGUAGGGGGCAAGCGUUGUCCGGAAUCAUUGGGCGUAAAGCGCGUGUAGGCGGCUUGGUAAGUCCGCUCUGAAAUCCCGGGGCUCAACCCCGGGAGGCGGAUGGAUACUGCUUGGCUCGAGUCCGGAAGAGGCGAGUGGAAUUCCCGGUGUAGCGGUGAAAUGCGCAGAUAUCGGGAGGAACACCAAUGGCGAAGGCAGCUCGCUGGGACGGUACUGACGCUGAGACGCGAAAGCGUGGGGAGCAAACAGG
This 253-nucleotide ribosomal RNA is filed under the name uncultured bacterium. RNAcentral describes it as "partial 16S ribosomal RNA". It matches the Rfam family "Bacterial small subunit ribosomal RNA", at positions 524 to 776 of the family's 1533-position model. The record is from RNAcentral.